Molecule: ribosomal RNA, 408 nt
Filed under: uncultured bacterium
Lineage: Bacteria
Description: bacterial SSU rRNA
Rfam family: Bacterial small subunit ribosomal RNA
Source: RNAcentral
GAUGAACGCUGGCGGCGUGCUUAACACAUGCAAGUCGAACGAAGCGCCUUGGACAGAUUCUUCGGAUGAAGUUUUUGGUGACUGAGUGGCGGACGGGUGAGUAACGCGUGGGUAACCUGCCUCACACUGGGGGAUAACAGUCAGAAAUGACUGCUAAUACCGCAUAAGCGCACGGAACCGCAUGGUUUUGUGUGAAAAAACUCCGGUGGUGUGAGAUGGACCCGCGUUGGAUUAGCCAGUUGGCAGGGUAACGGCCUACCAAAGCGACGAUCCAUAGCCGGCCUGAGAGGGUGAACGGCCACAUUGGGACUGAGACACGGCCCAGACUCCUACGGGAGGCAGCAGUGGGGAAUAUUGCACAAUGGGGGAAACCCUGAUGCAGCGACGCCGCGUGAAGGAAGAAGUAUC